AUUGAACGCUGGCGGCAGGCUUAACACAUGCAAGUCGAACGAUGAAACUCUAGCUUGCUAGAGAUGAUUAGUGGCGGACGGGUGAGUAACAUUUAGGAAUCUGCCUAGUAGUGGGGGAUAGCUCGGGGAAACUCGAAUUAAUACCGCAUACGACCUACGGGUGAAAGGGGGCGCAAGCUCUUGCUAUUAGAUGAGCCUAAAUCAGAUUAGCUAGUUGGUGGGGUAAAGGCCCACCAAGGCGACGAUCUGUAACUGGUCUGAGAGGAUGAUCAGUCACACCGGAACUGGGACACGGUCCGGACUCCUACGAGAGGCAGCAGUGGGGAAUAUUGGACAAUGGGGGCAACCCUGAUCCAGCCAUGCCGCGUGUGUGAAGAAGGCCUUGUGGUUGUAAAGCACUUUAAGCAGGGAGGAGAGGCUAAUGGUUAAUACCCAUUAGAUUAGACGUUACCUGCAGAAUAAGCACCGGCUAACUCUGUG
RNAcentral lists this ribosomal RNA (480 nucleotides) under uncultured bacterium. Its description in RNAcentral is "partial 16S ribosomal RNA". It matches the Rfam family "Bacterial small subunit ribosomal RNA", at positions 30 to 507 of the family's 1533-position model. The record is from RNAcentral.